AGCAAAUUUCCAAAAGAGGAAAGAGAGAGGGGCACGUGAGAGAGAAGGGGUAAGAGAGAAAUUGACCCGUUUAGCCGGAUCCGAGCCGCAUCCUUGACCCGGCUCCAGCUGUUGAUUCCGGCCACCUCACCGGCCGAGCUUGGUACCGAUUUGAAGCUUGAGCGACUCCGGUCGCUGACAUCGUCACCGGAAAGUAGCCAGCACGCCGGCGAUCGAAGCUUGAAAGACCGCGGCUCAACCCGUUUUCGGCACCGUCAAUCUCAUCGGAAUUAGGUUGCACCACCGGUUGGGUUCGACUCCUCACGUCGCUAGCUUUCAUUUCCGACCAACCCCGCCACCUGAAACCUCCGUUUUGGCCGUGAACGACCGCCGGAAAGCUCACGGAUUUGGGAGCAUGAUCCGCCGCCAUCACCGCGCGUGUAAGGUCACCGCCGGCACCUUUGGACUCACCGAGGUCUGAAAUAUCAGACCUAAGCUUCCCGUCGUCGUUGACUAAGUCUGGUCACCGUUGACCGGCAGGGUCAAUUCGGUAAUUUUACAAGACUUUGGGGUAAAUUUGUAAUUUGAAGAAAUGAUGGAUAAAUUGGUAAUUUCAUAUUAGGGCAGUGAGGUAAUUUAAGAUUUUGGGGGUAAUUCAGUAAUUUACGUUGUUAAGGACAUUUUGGUAAAUUUACACUCCGAGGGUAAUUUCGUAAUUUCUUACAUUGUGGUUAUUUUUAUAAUCUGAAUUGAGGUUAGCUUGGUAAUUUAAGAUUACGAGGAUAAUUGGGUAAGUAUUGAUGUCGGGGACAUUUUGGUAAUUUUGGCAUGCAUGGGUAUUUUGGUAAUUUGAGGCAUACAAGAAUAGUUGAUUAUGAAUGAAUAUUUGUUUCGAGCUCUAAUGCGUAAUAUUAGUUGUAUUUCACAUUUACGGAAAAAUAAUUAUGUCGUUUACUUGAUUACAAGGACCUGCGAACAAGAAUCAACUCGUGGACACUGUUGAUACCGAGUUUGAACAUCGUCAUUAUGAGUGGAAUAUACAAAACUUAUUUUCAUAGUAUAUUCUGAUUUUACCAUACAGUACAACAUAUUUUGAUAAUAAGUAUUUGAUGCUUCGAUUUAAUGAUUUUUUAGAAAAUUGAUUUUUUUUUAUCUCCGUGCUGAUAUUUAUUGUUAUUAAGAAUGAGUUUGAUUAAUGAUUUUAUUGUCGUUUUUGAGUAAAUGCAUGAUAUUAGAAUUCAGUGGAUUUGAGAUAUGUUAAAUAAAAAGGAAAUGUGAUUAUAUGUUUAUGUACAUGUGUAUAAAAAGUUGUUUGGAAAAUCAUUGGACAGUACCUUUCUCCUUUAGAUACAGAGAUACAAAUUAUAUGAGAUGAAUCACGGAUUUGGGAGCAUGAUCCGCCGCCAUCACCGCGCGUGUAAGGUCACCGCCGGCACCUUUGGACUCACCGAGGUCUGAAAUAUCAGACCUAAGCUUCCCGUCGUCGUUGACUAAGUCUGGUCACCGUUGACCGGCAGGGUCAAUUCGGUAAUUUUACAAGACUUUGGGGUAAAUUUGUAAUUUGAAGAAAUGAUGGAUAAAUUGGUAAUUUCAUAUUAGGGCAGUGAGGUAAUUUAAGAUUUUGGGGGUAAUUCAGUAAUUUACGUUGUUAAGGACAUUUUGGUAAAUUUACACUCCGAGGGUAAUUUCGUAAUUUCUUACAUUGUGGUUAUUUUUAUAAUCUGAAUUGAGGUUAGCUUGGUAAUUUAAGAUUACGAGGAUAAUUGGGUAAGUAUUGAUGUCGGGGACAUUUUGGUAAUUUUGGCAUGCAUGGGUAUUUUGGUAAUUUGAGGCAUACAAGAAUAGUUGAUUAUGAAUGAAUAUUUGUUUCGAGCUCUAAUGCGUAAUAUUAGUUGUAUUUCACAUUUACGGAAAAAUAAUUAUGUCGUUUACUUGAUUACAAGGACCUGCGAACAAGAAUCAACUCGUGGACACUGUUGAUACCGAGUUUGAACAUCGUCAUUAUGAGUGGAAUAUACAAAACUUAUUUUCAUAGUAUAUUCUGAUUUUACCAUACAGUACAACAUAUUUUGAUAAUAAGUAUUUGAUGCUUCGAUUUAAUGAUUUUUUAGAAAAUUGAUUUUUUUUUAUCUCCGUGCUGAUAUUUAUUGUUAUUAAGAAUGAGUUUGAUUAAUGAUUUUAUUGUCGUUUUUGAGUAAAUGCAUGAUAUUAGAAUUCAGUGGAUUUGAGAUAUGUUAAAUAAAAAGGAAAUGUGAUUAUAUGUUUAUGUACAUGUGUAUAAAAAGUUGUUUGGAAAAUCAUUGGACAGUACCUUUCUCCUUUAGAUACAGAGAUACAAAUUAUAUGAGAUGAAUAUAGUGAUACAGAUAAUAUUAGAUGAGAGGCCUUUGGGGCCCGUCUAAACAUACACAAAGACUUUGGGCCGUGUGGUCGGGCGCUUUUGCCUUUUGGAGGCUUAUGCAUGCAGUAUGAUAAUCACAGAGAUGCAGAUGUUGAGAUAUAUGAGAUAUGAGAUGACAUUUCCCCGUCUAUCCGUUGUAGCUCCGAGGCAUGAUGGUUCCUUGAUUGCUCGUCCGUUGAGGUCUGGAUAUGAUGAGAUUAUUCCCCUUGGUACUUGUUUGAUG
RNAcentral lists this long non-coding RNA (2603 nucleotides) under Citrus sinensis (sweet orange). Its description in RNAcentral is "long non-coding RNA (CSIN_LNC000757)". The record is from RNAcentral. Lineage: Eukaryota; Viridiplantae; Streptophyta; Magnoliopsida; Sapindales; Rutaceae.